AUUGAACGCUGGCGGCAGGCUUAACACAUGCAAGUCGAGCGGGGAAUGGUAGCUUGCUACCUGACCUAGCGGCGGACGGGUGAGUAAUGCUUAGGAAUCUGCCUAUUAGUGGGGGACAACAUUCCGAAAGGAAUGCUAAUACCGCAUACGCCCUACGGGGGAAAGCAGGGGAUCUUCGGACCUUGCGCUAAUAGAUGAGCCUAGGUCAGAUUAGCUAGUUGGUGGGGUAAAGGCCUACCAAGGCGACGAUCUGUAGCGGGUCUGAGAGGAUGAUCCGCCACACUGGGACUGAGACACGGCCCAGACUCCUACGGGAGGCAGCAGUGGGGAAUAUUGGACAAUGGGCGCAAGCCUGAUCCAGCCAUGCCGCGUGUGUGAAGAAGGCCUUUUGGUUGUAAAGCACUUUAAGCGAGGAGGAGGCUACUGAGAUUAAUACUCUUGGAUAGUGGACGUUACUCGCAGAAUAAGCACCGGCUAACUCUGUGCCAGCAGCCGCGGUAAUACAGAGGGUGCGAGCGUUAAUCGGAUUUACUGGGCGUAAAGCGUGCGUAGGCGGCUUUUUAAGUCGGAUGUGAAAUCCCUGAGCUUAACUUAGGAAUUGCAUUCGAUACUGGGAAGCUAGAGUAUGGGAGAGGAUGGUAGAAUUCCAGGUGUAGCGGUGAAAUGCGUAGAGAUCUGGAGGAAUACCGAUGGCGAAGGCAGCCAUCUGGCCUAAUACUGACGCUGAGGUACGAAAGCAUGGGGAGCAAACAGGAUUAGAUACCCUGGUAGUCCAUGCCGUAAACGAUGUCUACUAGCCGUUGGGGCCUUUGAGGCUUUAGUGGCGCAGCUAACGCGAUAAGUAGACCGCCUGGGGAGUACGGUCGCAAGACUAAAACUCAAAUGAAUUGACGGGGGCCCGCACAAGCGGUGGAGCAUGUGGUUUAAUUCGAUGCAACGCGAAGAACCUUACCUGGUCUUGACAUAGUAAGAACUUUCCAGAGAUGGAUUGGUGCCUUCGGGAACUUACAUACAGGUGCUGCAUGGCUGUCGUCAGCUCGUGUCGUGAGAUGUUGGGUUAAGUCCCGCAACGAGCGCAACCCUUUUCCUUAUUUGCCAGCGGGUUAAGCCGGGAACUUUAAGGAUACUGCCAGUGACAAACUGGAGGAAGGCGGGGACGACGUCAAGUCAUCAUGGCCCUUACGACCAGGGCUACACACGUGCUACAAUGGUCGGUACAAAGGGUUGCUACCUAGCGAUAGGAUGCUAAUCUCAAAAAGCCGAUCGUAGUCCGGAUUGGAGUCUGCAACUCGACUCCAUGAAGUCGGAAUCGCUAGUAAUCGCGGAUCAGAAUGCCGCGGUGAAUACGUUCCCGGGCCU
This 1359-nucleotide ribosomal RNA is filed under the name uncultured bacterium. RNAcentral's name for it is "bacterial SSU rRNA". It matches the Rfam family "Bacterial small subunit ribosomal RNA", at positions 28 to 1381 of the family's 1533-position model. The record is from RNAcentral.